RNAcentral lists this ribosomal RNA (468 nucleotides) under uncultured bacterium. RNAcentral's name for it is "partial 16S ribosomal RNA". It matches the Rfam family "Bacterial small subunit ribosomal RNA", at positions 28 to 507 of the family's 1533-position model. The record is from RNAcentral.
GACGAACGCUGGCGGCGUGCUUAACACAUGCAAGUCGAACGGAAAGGCCCUGCUUUUGUGGGGUGCUCGUGUGGCGAACGGGUGAGUAACACGUGAGUAACCUGCCCCUGACUUUGGGAUAACUUUUGGAAACUGGGGCUCAUACCGGAUAGGAGCUCUUGCUGCAUGUUGGGGGUUGGAAAGUUACGGCGGUUGGGGAUGGACUCGCGGCUUAUGAGCUUGUUAGUGAGGUAGUGGCUUACCAAGGCUUUGACGGGUAGCCGGCCUGAGAGGGUGACCGGCGACAUUAGGACUGAGAGACGGCCCAGAAUCCUACGUGAGGCAGAGGUGGGGAAUAUGGCGCAAUGGGCGGGAGCCUGAUGCAGCAACGCCGCGAGCGGGAUGACGGCCUUCGGGUUGUGAACCGCUUUCGCCUGUGACAAGGCGGGAUUGACGGUAAUGAGUAAGAAAGCAACGGCUAACUACGUG